GUAAUUUUUGCAGUGCAACGAAAUCAGAAAGAUUAGCAGCAGCAUGGCUGUGAUUGGGAAAACCGCUGUCGACAACGAUAAAGAAGACUACGACAAUGAUCCUGACGAUGACGACGUAGACAAUGCAGAGGACUCCGAGGGGGAAGAGUUUGAGCAGGAAACCAGUUGAAAUUGCUGACUACCCUCGUUCUGUUUCUGUUUGGACGGCCACAAACCUACAUCGAAUGCGGCUUUUAAGUUCUUUACGCGUAUCGUCAUACAUUAUCUUAAACAAAUUUGCUGAACUGUGCCACUUCUCUCUAUGGAUAAAGAUAAAGCUUGUGCCUUUUGUGUUUCUCUGUCCUCUUUCAUGGUCCUUAAUUAGUACUAAAACAUAUCCGUACUCUUGCUUGUGAAAAAGAAAAAGAAAAAGGAAAAGAGAUCAUUCAAGAAGGUAGUGUCUUCCACUUACGAGCCGUUCAGACCUUUUUACUUUAGGAUAAGAACUUACAUGAAACGAGUUUGUUGCUUCGUGGCGUCUUGUAUCCAAUAAUACAUUGACGAGUGCAAGCUUUUCUUCACAUGAUAAUAUAUUAUUAAAAUGGACAUCAUGUGACGGUGGACUCAUUUCAUAUAAGUUGCUCCCUAAGUUUAAAGAUAUGUACUAAAGAUAUUGUUAAUAUGUGUUAUUGGAGUUUCAAUGGAUUAGGUAGAUGGGCAGCUCCCGGAAAUUUGAUUUUUGUUGCCCUUGCCGGGAGGCGUUGGAGGAUGUUGGUCCAACAAUUGGGGAUGAAUUUCAAAUCCGUAUUCGAAACGGUAUGUUCUGAAUUCAAUUACUAACGCUGGUAAACACGCGAUGGUGGUCAGAACGAGACUAAAAUAUGAGUCUUCCCGGCACCAGACUAUCGUGACAAAACCGUCAAAUGAUCUUUUUUGUAUAAAAUAGGUAAAUUGCUUAGAUUGAAUUUUUCUUUGCAAGAAUUAUAAUACUUAAAAAAAUAGACAGUUUAGAUUGCUGUAAAACAACGUCGAGCCGGCUCCUAAAACUUCUCCAUUCUUUAGUUAUCACUUCCUUUGAAACUAUUCGUUAAGUCAAAUAGCUCAAAUUAGUCUAUUUUCCUUUAUGCAUAUAUACGAAUUGCCCCUGAUUUCGAGCUAAGUGAAAUUUCAAUCCAAAUGACAAAGAGGGAAAUGCUCCAAUGGCUGGAGAUUUUGACAAAAAGGAGCCCUGAUUUGAAGUUUUGAAGGCUAAUGAAGUCUAAUUUUGAGAAAAAAGGAGCCUAAUUUUGUGAAAUUGUAACCAAAGUAACAAAUAUUUUUUUAUUUUUUUAUUUUUUUAUCACCAUUUGAUUUGGAGGAUCGAAUUAUUUCCUCUGUUUUCUUUUGUGCUAGUUUUUGUGGGAAAUUCUUCGUAGGGUAAGAUAUGCUUGUAAAGCUUCGAAGGAUUUUGUUUGGUUUACUUGGAUGCACCUUGUCGAAAGUUCCUUCUUUUGGUGGUCCAAAAUUUGAAACGUUUCGGUUUUUAAUCCUAUAAGCUGUGUGAGCUCUACUGAUGAUUACGAAACGUUUGUUUUGGUCACAUUUGUUGUCUGUAGGUGUAAGAGCUAGGUUAAGUUAUGGAAAACUAAGAAAGUUGGAUUAUUUUGAGACUUGGUAGCCUUAAUGCCUGUGUACUGGAUUCAAAUUCUCGUUGCUAUGUAUGUCUCGUUCGGAGUCUGUAAUUCUCCGUUUUGAUUCUGAACAUUAUAUGUUUGUGGCGGCGAAUCAUGCCACUCCUGUGGGGAAGGACAAAGGACAGCAUCCUAACACAGCAUUAGAAUCCAGCAGCUAGAAGAACGGGCACUGCUCAAUGAUUUUUUUCCUUGAAGUGAGAGAGACCUCAUGGUUUCGGGAUUCCGGUAACAACUUUUUUUGCUUAAAUCUAAAGAUAGCGAAGGUUUGGAAUAAGUGGGAGGAUGCCCGGAAGGCAAGCAAAUGUCUCAUGGGGGACAGCCUCGUUCUUCCGAGAGUCGGGUGCAAUCCCAACUGGUAUACCUUAAGUCGCCUGGAGACGAUAAGUGAAGGCACAUUUUUGCAGUUUGUCGGAUCUGUGUGUAUUUCUAAGUGUCUUCAAACUACAGUUACGUUAUUAUAUCAUUAUACUACUGUGUUUUAGCACUUAUCUUUCUGUUCUUCUUUAAGUUGGCUUCAUCUGAGGUAAUUUUUGCAGUGCAAUGAAAUCAGAGAGAGUAGAAGCAGCAUGGCUGUGAUUGGGAAACCGCUGUCGACAACGAUAAAGAAGACUACGACAAUGAUCCAGACGAUGACGAUGUAGAUAACGCAGAGGACUCCGAGGGGGAAGAGAUUGAGCAGGAAACGAGUUGAAAUUGCUGACAACCCUCACUCCGUUUCUGUUUGGACGGCCACAAACCUACAUCGAAUGCGGCUUUUAAGUUCUUUACGCGUAUCGUCAUACAUUAUCUUAUACAAAUUUGCUGAACUGUGCCACUUCUCUCCAUGGAUAAAGAUAAAGCUUGUGCC
This 2499-nucleotide long non-coding RNA is filed under the name Malus domestica (apple). RNAcentral describes it as "long non-coding RNA (MDOM_LNC006288)". Lineage: Eukaryota; Viridiplantae; Streptophyta; Magnoliopsida; Rosales; Rosaceae. The record is from RNAcentral.